Long non-coding RNA from Osmerus eperlanus (European smelt), 298 nucleotides. RefSeq lists it as uncharacterized. The record is from RefSeq and is a predicted model, not a curated record. Lineage: Eukaryota; Metazoa; Chordata; Actinopteri; Osmeriformes; Osmeridae. The transcript has 2 exons.
GUAGGAUUCUACUGACGACUACAUGCUCUAGCCUGGCUGUAUUGGCAGAGACCUAAGACACCUUUGGAGAGGUGGCCUCAGCUGUUGAAGAGGAAGGUGAACUGAGGAAGACUGAAAGAAGAUUUACCAUCUCUGUGUUUUGUUUACUAUACGAGCUCCGGUGCGUUAGGCGCUUAUAGUUUUAUUGUGAAUACCUUCGUUAACUAUUGCUCCGAAGGUAUGUUUAUUUGAUUGUUUCAUUAUUAUUGUAUUGACUAUCUUACUAUUUAGAUAAUAAAUCAUUGUGCAUUUUAAGUUA